This 489-nucleotide ribosomal RNA is filed under the name uncultured bacterium. RNAcentral describes it as "partial 16S ribosomal RNA". It matches the Rfam family "Bacterial small subunit ribosomal RNA", at positions 30 to 506 of the family's 1533-position model. The record is from RNAcentral.
AUUGAACGCUGGCGGCAGGCUUAACACAUGCAAGUCGAACGGUGACAUAAAGGAGCUUGCUUCUUUGAUGACGAGUGGCGGACGGGUGAGUAAUGCUUGGGAAUCUAGCUUAUGGAGGGGGAUAACUACGGGAAACUGUAGCUAAUACCGCGUAGAAUCGGGAGAUGAAAGUGUGGGACCUUCGGGCCACAUGCCAUAGGAUGAGCCCAAGUGGGAUUAGGUAGUUGGUGAGGUAAAGGCUCACCAAGCCGACGAUCUCUAGCUGGUCUGAGAGGAUGACCAGCCACACUGGGACUGAGACACGGCCCAGACUCCUACGGGAGGCAGCAGUGGGGAAUAUUGCGCGAUGGGGGCAACCCUGACGCAGCCAUGCCGCGUGAAUGAAGAAGGCCUUCGGGUUGUAAAGUUCUUUCGGUAGCGAGGAAGGCAUUUAGUUUAAUAGACUAGGUGAUUGACGUUAACUACAGAAGAAGCACCGGCUAACUCCGU